RNAcentral lists this ribosomal RNA (490 nucleotides) under uncultured bacterium. RNAcentral's name for it is "partial 16S ribosomal RNA". It matches the Rfam family "Bacterial small subunit ribosomal RNA", at positions 28 to 507 of the family's 1533-position model. The record is from RNAcentral.
GAUGAACGCUAGCUACAGGCUUAACACAUGCAAGUCGCGGGGCAGCAUGGGGGUUGCUUGCAAUCCCCGAUGGCGACCGGCGCACGGGUGAGUAACGCGUAUCCAACCUGCCCUUCACCACGGGAUAACCCGGCGAAAGUCGGACUAAUACCGUAUGUUGUCCAUUGACGGCAUCCGAUUUGGACGAAAGGCUUGGCGGUGAGGGAUGGGGAUGCGUCCGAUUAGCCAGACGGCGGGGUAACGGCCCACCGUGGCUACGAUCGGUAGGGGUUCGGAGAGGAAGGGACCCCACACUGGAACUGAGACACGGUCCAGAAUCCUACGGGAGGCAGCAGUGAGGAAUAGUGGGCAAGGGGCGUAAGCCUGAACCAGCCAAGUAGCGUGCAGGAUGACGGCCCUAUGGGUUGUAAACUGCUUUUAUGCGGGGAUAAAGUGGCCCACGUGUGGGCUUUUGCAGGUACCGCAUGAAUAAGGACCGGCUAAUUCCGUG